Molecule: ribosomal RNA, 493 nt
Filed under: uncultured Enterobacteriaceae bacterium
Lineage: Bacteria; Pseudomonadati; Pseudomonadota; Gammaproteobacteria; Enterobacterales; Enterobacteriaceae
Description: bacterial SSU rRNA
Rfam family: Bacterial small subunit ribosomal RNA
Source: RNAcentral
CGGGCUUAAAAUGCAAGUCGAGCGGUAACAGGAAGUAGCUUGCUGCUUCGCUGACGAGUGGCGGACGGGUGAGUAAUGUCUGGGAAACUGCCUGAUGGAGGGGGAUAACUACUGGAUACGGUAGCUAAUACCGCAUAACGUCGCAAGACCAAAGAGGGGGACCUUCAGGCCUCUUGCCAUCGGAUGUGCCCACAUGGGAUUAGCUAGUAGGUGGGGUAACGGCUCACCUAGGCGACGAUCCCUAGCUGGUCUGAGAGGAUGACCACCCACACUGGAACUGAGACACGGUCCAGACUCCUACGGGAGGCAGCAGUGGGGAAUAUUGCACAAUGGGCGCAAGCCUGAUGCAGCCAUGCCGCGUGUAUGAAGAAGGCCUUCGGGUUGUAAAGUACUUUCAGCGGGGAGGAAGGGAGUAAAGUUAAUACCUUUGCUAAUUGACGUUACCCGCAGAAGAAGCACCGGCUAACUCCGUGCCACCACGCAAAGUAAAAAA